CACACUUAUUUGCCAUAUUGGUUCUAAUAUAUACAGAAGUAUGUAUAAACAAACAUAUGUAUGUAUGUCUAAAAUUGUUUUCUCUGUAUAUUUGUAAAUUGGUGCAUAAAAAUACGCCCAUAGGUGGAAUUGAAUUUUCGCGCACGGUGUGACUUUUCAAAGGGCAUUAAAAUAAUUAUUAAAAAAAAAAUUGAAAUAUCAUAUGUAUAUAAAAUUAUGUCAACAUUUGGCUGCCAAGGAACUAAAAAUGUUUAGUUUCGGAGUCCAAGUGACCUAGAAUUUAAGUUUUAAAGCCCGCAUAUAAGAAAUUUAUAGCGCCGAGCUCAAAUUCAAGGCUAUGUAUUUAAUUUAGUUAUAGCAAAAAAAUUUGUAAACAUAUUUUUAUUUAUUUAAUGGAAUUGAAUUUUAAUUAACAAACUGCAAAUCUGGUUUAAAAAAUAUUUUAAAAAUUUGUUAAAGUAAAAAAAGAUAUCAAAUUUUUUUUUAUAUUUUUAUUCUCUCUAAAAAUAAUCUUAUUAUUUUUUUACUUAUUUCCUUUUUAUCUAAAAUUUUUACGUAACUUGAACACUGUGCGUUGGGAACAAGUGCAUUUGCCCAUCUUCCUCUUCCGUCGUGCAUCCCGUUAGUAUUGCGCUGUUAACACAUUUCACUUUACAUCUGCCUAUCUUGUGUUUUUGUUGUUGCUGCUCUUCACACACAGAGCUUGUUGCACAACGAAAGUCAAGCAACCCCCAGGCCGCCCGUUCAAAAGCAUAGCAAUGGGAUGCGACUUUGUGCGCUCGUCGGUCGACAUAGGCAGCAAUGCAUUGCCAGUCGCAUUUUUACGGUCGAAGCGGUAAGAACUCCAGCGUCAGCAGUUUGCAGAGAAAAUAAAUAUUGAACAUGCUUCUGGAAACAUUUGGUCUUGAUUGGGCAUUCAUAGUGGGGGCUUGCGGAUCCAUGUUCAAAUUUGCUGAGCCACAACGUAGUAUAAUAUAUGUAAAUCUUACUUAGUUAUCAAAAAUGUGAACGUUUUGAGGAAUUGCUUUUUGGAGGAGUCAAUGCUGGUUCCAGUUUUGCCGUCGGCAUAAUAUGGUUUUCGUGCUAUGUGUAACAAACGCUUCUGAUGGUUUAUAGCCAAGAACACCAGAGCACUGCAGAGCAAAAUGAAACAGUGAAAUAUGCAUUUGGUUUCAAAAAGUUCGAGCUUAACGUUUUUAUGAAUGGAAUAUUAUUUUAUUAUACGAAUAUGUGUUUUUAGUGUCUUUGAAAUGCUUGUUAUACAGUUAUGCAAUACUACAGUCGGGAAGAAUAUAAUCAUUAGUCAUUUUGGAAGGUUAUAGCAAGUUGUAAGCUUAGAGCAAAUAGCGAAAGACUUCGUCUUGGAAUCAAAUCUAUAACUUAUUUCGAUUUAAAAAUUAUAAGUUGAUAUAAAAUAUUUUUUUAUUUUUCAAAAAAAAAAAAAAAAAAAAAAUGAUGUUCAAUUUAUUUUUUCACUCAGGCUUAUUUUUAAAAAUAAAUCAAUGGAAUCUUUAUUAAACAACGCA
Molecule: long non-coding RNA, 1526 nt
Organism: Bactrocera neohumeralis
Lineage: Eukaryota; Metazoa; Arthropoda; Insecta; Diptera; Tephritidae
Exons: 2
Source: RefSeq, a predicted model, not a curated record